GGAAGGAUCAUUAAUUAUGUUAAAGCGCCUUACCUCUUAGGGUUUCCUCUGGGGUAAGUGAUUGCUUCUACACUGUGAAAAUUUGGCUGAGAGACUCAGACUGGUCAUGGGUAGACCUAUCUGGGGUUUGAUCGAUGCCACUCCUGGUUUCAGGAGCACCCUUCAUAAUAAACCUAGAAAUUCAGUAUUAUAAAGUUUAAUAAAAAACAACUUUUAACAAUGGAUCUCUUGGUUCUCGCAUCGAUGAAGAACGUAGCAAAGUGCGAUAACUAGUGUGAAUUGCAUAUUCAGUGAAUCAUCGAGUCUUUGAACGCAGCUUGCACUCUAUGGUUUUUCUAUAGAGUACGCCUGCUUCAGUAUCAUCACAAACCCACACAUAACAUUUGUUUAUGUGGUAAUGGGUCGCAUCGCUGUUUUAUUACAGUGAGCACCUAAAAUGUGUGUGAUUUUCUGUCUGGCUUGCUAGGCAGGAAUAUUACGCUGGUCUCAGGAUCUUUUUCUUUGGUUCGCCCAGGAAGUAAAGUACAAGAGUAUAAUCCAGCAACUUUCAAACUAUGAUCUGAAGUCAGGUGGGAUUACCCGCUGAACUUAAGCAUAUCAAUAAGCGGAGGAAAAGAAAAUAACAAUGAUUUCCCUAGUAACGGCGAGUGAAGAGGAAAGAGCUCAAAGUUGGAACCUGUUUGGCCUAGCUAAACCGGAUUGUAGACUGUAGAAGUGUUUUCCAGGCAAGCCGAGUAAAUAAGUCCUUUGGAACAGGGCAUCAUAGAGGGUGAGAAUCCCGUCUUUGGCUUGAGCAUUUGCCUUUUGUGAUACGCUUUCAAAGAGUCAGGUUGUUUGGGAAUGCAGCCUAAAUUGGGUGGUAAAUCUCACCUAAAGCUAAAUAUUGGCGAGAAACCGAUAGCGAACAAGUACCGUGAGGGAAAGAUGAAAAGAACUUUGAAAAGAGAGUUAAACAGUAUGUGAAAUUGUUAAAAGGGAACCGUUUGGAGCCAGACUGGCUUGUCUGUAAUCAAUCUAGGCUUCGGCCUGGAUGCACUUGCAGGCUAUGCCUGCCAACGACAAUUUGACUUGAGGGAAAAAACUAAGGGAAAUGUGGCCCACUUGUGGGUGUUAUAGUCCCUUAGAAAAUACCUUGGGUUGGAUUGAGGAACGCAGCGAAUGCUUUUUGGCGAGUUUUCCAGGAAGGUUUUCUGAGGUACUACGGUAUCAAGGUUGAUCUUUUUGGUUAUACUUCUAUUCGCUUAGGUUGUUGGCUUAAUGACUCUAAAUGACCCGUCUUGAAACACGGACCAAGGAGUCCACCAUUAGUGCGAGUAUUUGGGUGCCAAACCCAUAUGCGUAAGGAAACUGAUUGAUACGAAUCCAUUAAGGAGGCAGUAUCGUCCGGCGCUGACGUUUUAUACUGAAUUGACCGAGACAAAGCACUAAUGAUGGGACCCGAAAGAUGGUGAACUAUGCCUGAAUAGGGUGAAGCCAGAGGAAACUCUGGUGGAGGCUCGUAGCGAUUCUGACGUGCAAAUCGAUCGUCAAAUUUGGGUAUAGGGGCGAAAGACUAAUCGAACCAUCUAGUAGCUGGUUCCUGC
This 1583-nucleotide unclassified non-coding RNA is filed under the name uncultured fungus. RNAcentral's name for it is "sequence contains 18S rRNA gene, ITS1, 5.8S rRNA gene, ITS2, 28S rRNA gene". The stretch from base 556 to 1583 matches the Rfam family "Eukaryotic large subunit ribosomal RNA", at positions 1 to 961 of the family's 3401-position model. The record is from RNAcentral. Lineage: Eukaryota; Fungi.